AACGAACGCUGGCGGCAUGCCUAACACAUGCAAGUCGAACGAGACCUUCGGGUCUAGUGGCGCACGGGUGCGUAACGCGUGGGAAUCUGCCCUUGGGUUCGGAACAACACUUGGAAACUACUGCUAAUACCGGAUGAUGACUUCGGACCAAAGAUUUAUCGCCCAGGGAUGAGCCCGCGUACGAUUAGGUAGUUGGUGGGGUAAAGGCCUACCAAGCCGACGAUCCUUAGCUGGUCUGAGAGGAUGAUCAGCCACACUGGGACUGAGACACGGCCCAGACUCCUACGGGAGGCAGCAGUGGGGAAUAUUGGACAAUGGGCGAAAGCCUGAUCCAGCAAUGCCGCGUGAGUGAUGAAGGCCUUAGGGUCGUAAAGCUCUUUUACCAGGGAUGAUAAUGACAGUACCUGGAGAAUAAGCUCCGGCUAACUCCGUGCCAGCAGCCGCGGUAAUACGGAGGGAGCUAGCGUUGUUCGGAAUUACUGGGCGUAAAGCGUACGUAGGCGGUUAUUCAAGUCAGAGGUGAAAGCCCGGCGCUCAACCCCGGAACGGCCGUUGAAACUACGUAGCUAGAAUCUUGGAGAGGUCAGUGGAAAUUCCGAGUGUAGAGGUGAAAUUCGUAGAUAUUUCGGAAGAACACCAGUGGCGAAGGCGACUGACUGUGUCAAGUAUUGACUCUGACGUACGAAAGCCUGGGGAGCAACAGAAUAAAUACCCUGGUAGUCUACCCCGUAACGAUGAUAACUAUCUGUCCGGGCACUUGCUGCCUGGGUGGCGCAGCUAACGCAUUAAGUUAUCCGUCUGGGGGAGUACGGUCGCAGAUUAAA
This 824-nucleotide ribosomal RNA is filed under the name uncultured bacterium. Its description in RNAcentral is "bacterial SSU rRNA". It matches the Rfam family "Bacterial small subunit ribosomal RNA", at positions 28 to 898 of the family's 1533-position model. The record is from RNAcentral.